GUUCUCANGCUCAGUUGGGAGAGCACCUCCCUUACAAGGAGGGGGUCACUGGUUCGAGCCCGGUAUCG
Molecule: transfer RNA, 68 nt
Filed under: Salinivibrio sp. ML290
Lineage: Bacteria; Pseudomonadati; Pseudomonadota; Gammaproteobacteria; Vibrionales; Vibrionaceae
Description: tRNA-Val
Rfam family: tRNA (bases 9-64)
About the family: Transfer RNA (tRNA) molecules are approximately 80 nucleotides in length. Their secondary structure includes four short double-helical elements and three loops (D, anti-codon, and T loops).
Source: RNAcentral